CCCUUAGAUGUUCUGGGCCGCACGCGCGCUACACUGAUGCAUUCAACGAGCCUAUCCUUGACCGACAGGUCCGGGUAAUCUUUGAAUCUGCAUCGUGACGGGGAUAGAUUAUUGCAAUUAUUAAUCUUCAACGAGGAAUGCCUAGUAGGCGCAAGUCAUCAGCUUGCGUCGAUUACGUCCCUGCCCUUUGUACACACCGCCCGUCGCUCCUACCGAUUGGGUUUGCUGGUGAAAUGUUCGGAUCGGCCGUUUGUCGCGGUUUCCGCGGCUCGUGGCUGAGAAGUUCAUUAAACCCUCCCACCUAGAGGAAGGAGAAGUCGUAACA
RNAcentral lists this ribosomal RNA (325 nucleotides) under uncultured eukaryote. Its description in RNAcentral is "partial 18S ribosomal RNA". It matches the Rfam family "Eukaryotic small subunit ribosomal RNA", at positions 1470 to 1796 of the family's 1831-position model. The record is from RNAcentral.